Molecule: ribosomal RNA, 1146 nt
Filed under: Bacillus sp. (in: firmicutes)
Lineage: Bacteria; Bacillati; Bacillota; Bacilli; Caryophanales; Bacillaceae
Description: bacterial SSU rRNA
Rfam family: Bacterial small subunit ribosomal RNA
Source: RNAcentral
ACAGCAGUGGGGCAGCUAUACAUGCAGUCGAGCGGACAGAUGGGAGCUUGCUCCCUGAUGUUAGCGGCGGACGGGUGAGUAACACGUGGGUAACCUGCCUGUAAGACUGGGAUAACUCCGGGAAACCGGGGCUAAUACCGGAUGGUUGUUUGAACCGCAUGGUUCAGACAUAAAAGGUGGCUUCGGCUACCACUUACAGAUGGACCCGCGGCGCAUUAGCUAGUUGGUGAGGUAACGGCUCACCAAGGCGACGAUGCGUAGCCGACCUGAGAGGGUGAUCGGCCACACUGGGACUGAGACACGGCCCAGACUCCUACGGGAGGCAGCAGUAGGGAAUCUUCCGCAAUGGACGAAAGUCUGACGGAGCAACGCCGCGUGAGUGAUGAAGGUUUUCGGAUCGUAAAGCUCUGUUGUUAGGGAAGAACAAGUGCCGUUCAAAUAGGGCGGCACCUUGACGGUACCUAACCAGAAAGCCACGGCUAACUACGUGCCAGCAGCCGCGGUAAUACGUAGGUGGCAAGCGUUGUCCGGAAUUAUUGGGCGUAAAGGGCUCGCAGGCGGUUUCUUAAGUCUGAUGUGAAAGCCCCCGGCUCAACCGGGGAGGGUCAUUGGAAACUGGGGAACUUGAGUGCAGAAGAGGAGAGUGGAAUUCCACGUGUAGCGGUGAAAUGCGUAGAGAUGUGGAGGAACACCAGUGGCGAAGGCGACUCUCUGGUCUGUAACUGACGCUGAGGAGCGAAAGCGUGGGGGAGCGAACAGGAUUAGAUACCCUGGUAGUCCACGCCGUAAACGAUGAGUGCUAAGUGUUAGGGGGUUUCCGCCCCUUAGUGCUGCAGCUAACGCAUUAAGCACUCCGCCUGGGGAGUACGGUCGCAAGACUGAAACUCAAAGGAAUUGACGGGGGCCCGCACAAGCGGUGGAGCAUGUGGUUUAAUUCGAAGCAACGCGAAGAACCUUACCAGGUCUUGACAUCCUCUGACAAUCCUAGAGAUAGGACGUCCCCUUUCGGGGGCAGAGUGACAGGUGGGUGCAUGGUUGUCGUCAGCUCGUGUCGUGAGAUGUUGGGGUUAAGUCCCCGCAACGAGGCGCAACCCUUGGAUUCUUAGUUGCCAGCAUUCCAGUUUGGGCCACUUCUUAAGGGUGACU